GGAUUAGAUACCCUGGUAGUCCACGCCGUAAACGAUGUUCACUAGCUGCUGGGGGCCUUGGCGCUCGCAGUGGCGAAGCUAACGCAUUAAGUGAACCGCCUGGGGAGUACGGUCGCAAGAUUAAAACUCAAAGGAAUUGACGGGGACCCGCACAAGCGGUGGAGCAUGUGGUUUAAUUCGAAGCAACGCGAAGAACCUUACCUGGGUUUGACAUCCCACUAAGAUCGGGUAAUGCCGAUUGUGCCCUUCGGGGAAAGUGGUGACAGGUGCUGCAUGGCUGUCGUCAGCUCGUGCUG
Molecule: ribosomal RNA, 296 nt
Filed under: uncultured bacterium
Lineage: Bacteria
Description: partial 16S ribosomal RNA
Rfam family: Bacterial small subunit ribosomal RNA
Source: RNAcentral